GCGGAAGUGGUGAAACUGGCAGACACGCAGGUCUCAGAAGCCUGUGGCUGUAAAGCCUUGAGGGUUCGACUCCCUCCUUCCGCACCA
This 87-nucleotide transfer RNA is filed under the name Candidatus Omnitrophota bacterium. RNAcentral's name for it is "Candidatus Omnitrophica bacterium tRNA-Leu". It matches the Rfam family "tRNA". Rfam says of the family: Transfer RNA (tRNA) molecules are approximately 80 nucleotides in length. Their secondary structure includes four short double-helical elements and three loops (D, anti-codon, and T loops). Further hydrogen bonds mediate the characteristic L-shaped molecular structure. tRNAs have two regions of fundamental functional importance: the anti-codon, which is responsible for specific mRNA codon recognition, and the 3' end, to which the tRNAs corresponding amino acid is attached (by aminoacyl-tRNA synthetases). tRNAs cope with the degeneracy of the genetic code in two manners: having more than one tRNA (with a specific anti-codon) for a particular amino acid; and 'wobble' base-pairing, i.e. permitting non-standard base-pairing at the 3rd anti-codon position. Lineage: Bacteria; Pseudomonadati; Candidatus Omnitrophota. The record is from RNAcentral.